Molecule: ribosomal RNA, 433 nt
Filed under: uncultured bacterium
Lineage: Bacteria
Description: partial 16S ribosomal RNA
Rfam family: Bacterial small subunit ribosomal RNA
Source: RNAcentral
AACGAACGCUGGCGGCAUGCCUAACACAUGCAAGUCGAACGAGACCUUCGGGUCUAGUGGCGCACGGGUGCGUAACGCGUGGGAAUCUACCCUCAGGUUCGGAAUAACUCAGAGAAAUUUGAGCUAAUACCGGAUGAUGACGUAUGUCCAAAGAUUUAUCGCCUGAGGAUGAGCCCGCGUAGGAUUAGGUAGUUGGUGAGGUAAAGGCUCACCAAGCCGACGAUCCUUAGCUGGUCUGAGAGGAUGAUCAGCCACACUGGGACUGAGACACGGCCCAGACUCCUACGGGAGGCAGCAGUGGGGAAUAUUGGACAAUGGGCGAAAGCCUGAUCCAGCAAUGCCGCGUGAGUGAUGAAGGCCUUAGGGUUGUAAAGCUCUUUUACCCGGGAUGAUAAUGACAGUACCGGGAGAAUAAGCUCCGGCUAACUCCGUG